This 69-nucleotide transfer RNA is filed under the name Epeorus dayongensis. RNAcentral's name for it is "tRNA-Gln". The record is from RNAcentral. Lineage: Eukaryota; Metazoa; Arthropoda; Insecta; Ephemeroptera; Heptageniidae.
UACAUUAUAGUGUACGAGGCACAAGAGUUUUUGAUAUUCUAAGAAAUAGUUUAAUUCUAUUAAAUGUAA